GACGAACGCUGGCGGCGUGCCUAAUACAUGCAAGUAGAACGCUGAAGCUUGGUGCUUGCACCGAGCGGCUGAGUUUCUAACUGGUGAGUAACGCGUAGGUAACCUGCCUGGUAGCGGGGGAUAACUAUUUGAAACGAUAGCUAAUACCGCAUAAGAGUAGAUUUUUCAUUACAUUUUCUUAAAAGGUGCAAUUGCAUCACUACCAGAUGGACCCGCGUUGUAUUAGCUAGUUGGUGAGGUAACGGCUCACCAAGGCAACGAUACAUAGCCGACCUGAGAGGGUGAUCGGCCACACUGGGACUGAGACACGGCCCAGACUCCUACGGGAGGCAGCAGUAGGGAAUCUUCGGCAAUGGACGGAAGUCUGACCGAGCAACGCCGCGUGAGUGAAGAAGGGUUUCGGAUCGUAAAGCUCUGUUGUAAGAGAAGAACGAGUGUGAGAGUGGAAAGUUCACACUGUGACGGUAUCUUACCAGAAAGGGACGGCUAACUACGUG
RNAcentral lists this ribosomal RNA (497 nucleotides) under uncultured bacterium. Its description in RNAcentral is "partial 16S ribosomal RNA". It matches the Rfam family "Bacterial small subunit ribosomal RNA", at positions 28 to 507 of the family's 1533-position model. The record is from RNAcentral.